UCGCCCCCCUCCGCCCAGGCCGGCUCAUCUCCUCAGCUCUCGCGGGCCACCGAGGCUGUAGCAGCCGAGCCGGAGGGAGGAGUGAAGAAUGUUCUGGAAUUCCUGAAGUUGUAACGCUGCAUCGCACAAAGCCGCUGGCAAAGAGCAUCUUGCACACAUAAAUGCUGGAACUACAACAUAAAGGAACCGUGAAGAAGCAUCACUCGAAUUCAGAGCUCUUGAGAAAGGUGGCUGCACACACCGUAAAGCUCAAAUUCUGGCUCUACCACAGACUGGAUCCAUUAGAAGCCAGGAAACGGGGCUGGCGAGAUGGUGCAAGAGUUCGGGACUGUGCCUCCCGUGUGUCCUCCCCGGGGUCAGUCCUCAACACUGAGGCCCUGGAGGGCAUAAAGGCUCGCAGCCACUGCCAAGUGGCCCAGGGAAUUCCUGACACCACCGCACCCUUCUGACUGCCAGUCCAGACGGCCAAUGGUCAGCAAGUAGGAUCUCUGGUAGUAGUUUCUUUAUUUGUCAAGGAGGAAAUGGGCACUGAGAAGUAAGAAGCAAUUGUCCCCAAGGAAGAAGCCCUGCUACCAAACUGGUACAAGUAUGGGUCCUGUGCUUCACGCGGCCAUCUUCCAGACUAGGCUCUGCAUCUGUUCAUUCGGCUGUGUCCCCUUCUAAGCCCCACAAAGAGUUCUCCCUGCUGAACAGAACGAGACCUCCACAUCGACUUCCACACUCCGCCCCUCCACCAGUUUAUUAAGUUUGGUGCAUCUCUGGAAUCAAAGUCUUUAGGCGCAGAGGGUCGAUUCGCGCUCAGCGGCUCCGGAUUUAACUGGGCCGGGCCGCGGGCGUGCCGGUUACGCCCCCUUCCCAUGAGUUCCUGGGAGCCCCAAAAGUAAAAACCAAAUACCUGUGGGUUUGGAGUCACAGAAGAUGGCGCCUGCCACGUGGGUGCCGCCAGGCCGCCGCUUUCCGUGCAGGAAGGCAGGGUGGGGAGGAAAAAAAUCCACCCCCAGCAGCACAGAGUUGUAGCCCAGUUCGGUGUCCCAGUGCAUUGCUAUCGGAUGCUGCGCUGGAUGCCCGAAUGUGUUACAUCUCUGGAAUCAAAGUCUUUAGGCGCAGAGGGUCCGAUUCGCGCUCAGCGGCUCUGGAUUUAUCUGGGCCGAGGGCGUGCUGGUUACGCCCCCUUCUCAUGAGUUCUUGGGAGCCCCAAAGGUUUUUAAUGUAGCAGCCACCUCUGGACUGUGAACUAAGCAAAAGCCCCACGCUGGCCGACGCGUCGUGGCGUACACCAUACUAUGAGGCACAGGAAGGGGGAUGAGGGGGAAAAAGAAAAAAAAAAGGAAAAAGGAAAAAGGAAAAAAGAGAGAGAGAGAGUUAGGUACUUGUAGCAGUGGGGUUACAUAUCUCUUCAUUUCCAGCAAUG
This is a long non-coding RNA of Sorex araneus (European shrew), 1411 nucleotides long. RefSeq lists it as uncharacterized. NCBI's taxonomy places the organism in Eukaryota, Metazoa, Chordata, Mammalia, Eulipotyphla, Soricidae. The record is from RefSeq and is a predicted model, not a curated record. The transcript has 3 exons.